RNAcentral lists this ribosomal RNA (393 nucleotides) under uncultured bacterium. RNAcentral describes it as "bacterial SSU rRNA". It matches the Rfam family "Bacterial small subunit ribosomal RNA", at positions 28 to 424 of the family's 1533-position model. The record is from RNAcentral.
GACGAACGCUGGCGGCGUGCUUAACACAUGCAAGUCGAGCGGUAAGGCCCUUUCGGGGGUACGACGAGCGGCGAACGGGUGAGUAACACGUGGGUGACCUGCCCUCAGCUCUGGGAUAAGCCUGGGAAACCGGGUCUAAUACUGGAUAUGACUCCAUGACGCAUGUUGUGGGGUGGAAAGCCUUGUGCGGCUGAGGAUGGGCCCGCGGCCUAUCAGCUUGUUGGUGGGGUGANGGCCUACCAAGGCGACGACGGGUAGCCGGCCUGAGAGGGCGACCGGCCACACUGGGACUGAGACACGGCCCAGACUCCUACGGGAGGCAGCAGUGGGGAAUCUUGCGCAAUGGGUGAAAGCCUGACGCAGCGACGCCGCGUGAGGGAUGACGGCCUGGUU